Molecule: ribosomal RNA, 484 nt
Filed under: uncultured bacterium
Lineage: Bacteria
Description: partial 16S ribosomal RNA
Rfam family: Bacterial small subunit ribosomal RNA
Source: RNAcentral
GAUGAACGCUGGCGGCGUGCUUAACACAUGCAAGUCGAACGGUGAAGCAGGAGCUUGCUCUUGUGGAUCAGUGGCGAACGGGUGAGUAACACGUGAGCAACCUGCCCCUGACUCUGGAAUAAGCGCUGGAAACGGCGUCUAAUACUGAAUAUGUGAUGUGACCGCAUGGUCUGCAUCUGGAAAGAAUUUCGGUUGGGGAUGGGCUCGCGGCCUAUCAGCUUGUUGGUGAGGUAAUGGCUCACCAAGGCGUCGACGGGUAGCCGGCCUGAGAGGGUGACCGGCCACACUGGGACUGAGACACGGCCCAGACUCCUACGGGAGGCAGCAGUGGGGAAUAUUGCACAAUGGGCGGAAGCCUGAUGCAGCAACGCCGCGUGAGGGAUGACGGCCUUCGGGUUGUAAACCUCUUUUAGCAGGGAAGAAGCGAAAGUGACGGUACCUGCAGAAAAAGCACCGGCUAACUACGUGCCAGCAGCCGCAGUAA